This 492-nucleotide ribosomal RNA is filed under the name uncultured bacterium. RNAcentral's name for it is "partial 16S ribosomal RNA". It matches the Rfam family "Bacterial small subunit ribosomal RNA", at positions 27 to 506 of the family's 1533-position model. The record is from RNAcentral.
GAGUGAACGCUGGCGGUAGGCCUAACCCAUGCAAGUCGAACGGCAGCCCAGUAAGAGCUUGCUCUUACGGGUGGCGAGUGGCGGACGGGUGAGGAAUACAUCGGAAUCUACUUUUUCGUGGGGGAUAACGUAGGGAAACUUACGCUAAUACCGCAUACGACCUACGGGUGAAAGCAGGGGAUCUUCGGACCUUGCGCGAUUGAAUGAGCCGAUGUCGGAUUAGCUAGUUGGCGGGGUAAAGGCCCACCAAGGCGACGAUCCGUAGCUGGUCUGAGAGGAUGAUCAGCCACACUGGAACUGAGACACGGUCCAGACUCCUACGGGAGGCAGCAGUGGGGAAUAUUGGACAAUGGGCGCAAGCCUGAUCCAGCCAUACCGCGUGGGUGAAGAAGGCCUUCGGGUUGUAAAGCCCUUUUGUUGGGAAAGAAAAGCAGCAGGUUAAUACCCCGCUGUUCGGACGGUACCCAAAGAAUAAGCACCGGCUAACUUCGU